RNAcentral lists this ribosomal RNA (849 nucleotides) under Triticum aestivum (bread wheat). RNAcentral describes it as "partial small subunit ribosomal RNA". Lineage: Eukaryota; Viridiplantae; Streptophyta; Magnoliopsida; Poales; Poaceae. The record is from RNAcentral.
AUGAUGGUAGGAGGUCACACCUUUGUUGAUGAGAGAGUGAUGUCUUUCCAUGAUGGAGUAGCCAUUGCUCUGAGAAUGUUGAGCUCCUGUGAGAUGCCGGAGAUUGUGGGAUCAUCAUUUGGUGUGGACGGGUCAACGGUUUCGCUGUUAACUCAAAGGUUUGUUAAGGCUAUGGAAGGACGAGCAAUGCACCACAUCAGGUUUCCUGGCUCCGCUCAAGUGGAGAAGACCAAGCGCAAGUUUCACAAGAUCCAUGGCCUCCCAAACUGCUGCGGUGUUGUACAUACAAGUCACAUCAAAUUUGGAUCAGAAAACAAUGAGAAUGAGGAAAAUGAUGGCAUGCUAAUGCAAGCCGUGAUUGAUCCAGAUAUGAGGUUGGCACUCAUUUUACUGCGAUCACAAGGAAGAAUGAACCAAUCAAGCAUGUUGAACAACUCUUAUAUCUUCGAGUACUGUGAGAAGGGUGCUUGGCUGAAUGGUAGCAAGCUGAAAGUAUCAUCAGGUGGAGGAUCGGAAGUCAAGGAAUACAUCAUUGGUGAUGCAGGGUACCCUCUUCGUCCUUGGCUCCUCACUCCUUACCAGUUGGAGAAUGGCCUCCCACUCUUAGGCGCCGAAGCUAUGUUCAAUAGGAGACAUUCUGCAGCUACAGCCGUCGCUGUGAGGGCGAUAGAAAGGUUAAAGGACACAUGGAAGUGCCUGCAGGGAGAAGGGUGGCAUCCAAAUAACCAACUUGAGGCAUACUGGACAGUCGACACGUGCUGCAUACUGCACAACAUAGUGAUAGACAUGGAGGAGGAUCAAGAGGAGGAGGAAGAGGAGGGGAAGAAUUACAGAAAGCAAGUGCGGUAG